Molecule: ribosomal RNA, 368 nt
Filed under: uncultured organism
Description: partial 16S ribosomal RNA
Rfam family: Bacterial small subunit ribosomal RNA
Source: RNAcentral
AGAGAGUGCGAGCGUUAAUCGGAAUUACUGGGCGUAAAGAGCACGUAGGUGGAUAUUUAAGUCGGAUGUGAAAGCCCUGGGCUCAACCUAGGAAUUGCACUCGAUACUGAGUAUCUAGAGUAUGGUAGAGGGAAGUGGAAUUUCCGGUGUAGCGGUGAAAUGCGUAGAUAUCGGAAGGAACACCAGUGGCGAAGGCGGCUUCCUGGACCAAUACUGACACUGAGGUGCGAAAGCGUGGGGGAGCAAACAGGAUUAGAGACCCUGGUAGUCCACGCUGUCAACGAUGAGAACUAGCUGUUGGGAGGUUUACCUUUUAGUAGCGAAGCUAACGCGUUAAGUUCUCCGCCUGGGGAUACGGCCGCAAGGUU